GGGAGGAAGUGGAGUAGCAAAACCGUUGAGCCUACGAACAGAAACUGGAUACGAGGCUAAAUGGCGGGCGAGAUUGCAUUACAAAUCGAAGCCCAAAAGGUAAACGUAACGCCAAGAGAGUAAAUCCAGAGGUUGUGCGGUGAAAGACU
This 149-nucleotide non-coding RNA is filed under the name pig gut metagenome. The record is from RNAcentral.